AAGUUCUAGGUUGUUACACUGUCCCCAUACCUCGUCCGGUAUGAGCGCCAAAAAUACCAAUCCUUGAUACCCCGUAUGGUAUGAGGAUGAAAUGGGCCGUUCCCAUAUCCCGUUUGGUGUGAGUGCCAAAAAUACCAAUCCUCGAUACCUCAUCCGGCACUAAGGCGACAUUCACAGUAGGAUUCCCUAUGUACCCAGUCCGUCCACAU
RNAcentral lists this long non-coding RNA (209 nucleotides) under Carica papaya (papaya). Its description in RNAcentral is "long non-coding RNA (CPAP_LNC001846)". Lineage: Eukaryota; Viridiplantae; Streptophyta; Magnoliopsida; Brassicales; Caricaceae. The record is from RNAcentral.